AUGGCAAAGUAUUGGUGGGUUAGUUCCCUUGACAAGUGGGCUUUGCAUUGGCUGGCCUGGGACAAGCUUGCAACACCAAAAGUGAAGGGCGGGAUGGGGUUCCGUGACUUACACAAUUUUAACCUGGCUUUACUUGGGAAACACGAAUGGAGGUUUAUCACAAACCCGAACUCCUUAUGUGCCAAGGUUAUGAAAGGAAAGUACUUCCCUGAUAUAGACUUUAUGAUUGCUAGUGUUCCUUCAUCGUCUUCAGCGAUUUGGAAAGCGAUUGUUGCAGACACGGAAGCACUUGAAUCCGGGCUGAUUCACCAGGCUGGAAACGUAUCCACCAUCUCUAUUUGGGAUGAUAAAUGGAUUCAUGAUACUAUUUCCUUGUUACCAAUGCUCAAGCCACAAAAUACUAUGCUGUAG
This 411-nucleotide ribosomal RNA is filed under the name Triticum aestivum (bread wheat). RNAcentral's name for it is "partial small subunit ribosomal RNA". Lineage: Eukaryota; Viridiplantae; Streptophyta; Magnoliopsida; Poales; Poaceae. The record is from RNAcentral.